UCCAGCCGAGUGCCUUGGUCGA
This 22-nucleotide non-coding RNA is filed under the name Arabidopsis thaliana (thale cress). The record is from RNAcentral. Lineage: Eukaryota; Viridiplantae; Streptophyta; Magnoliopsida; Brassicales; Brassicaceae.